GGGUGAGUAACACGUGGAUAACCUACCUAUAAGACUGGGAUAACUUCGGGAAACCGGAGCUAAUACCGGAUAAUAUAUUGAACCGCAUGGUUCAAUAGUGAAAGACGGCUUUGCUGUCACUUAUAGAUGGAUCCGCGCCGCAUUAGCUAGUUGGUAAGGUAACGGCUUACCAAGGCAACGAUGCGUAGCCGACCUGAGAGGGUGAUCGGCCACACUGGAACUGAGACACGGUCCAG
RNAcentral lists this ribosomal RNA (236 nucleotides) under uncultured Staphylococcus sp. RNAcentral's name for it is "partial 16S ribosomal RNA". It matches the Rfam family "Bacterial small subunit ribosomal RNA", at positions 104 to 334 of the family's 1533-position model. The record is from RNAcentral. Lineage: Bacteria; Bacillati; Bacillota; Bacilli; Caryophanales; Staphylococcaceae.